RNAcentral lists this unclassified non-coding RNA (250 nucleotides) under uncultured fungus. Its description in RNAcentral is "sequence contains 5.8S rRNA gene". The stretch from base 1 to 53 matches the Rfam family "5.8S ribosomal RNA", at positions 102 to 154 of the family's 154-position model. Lineage: Eukaryota; Fungi. The record is from RNAcentral.
GAACGCACAUUGCGCCCGCUAGUAUUCUGGCGGGCAUGCCUGUCCGAGCGUCAUUUCAACCAUCAAGCCCCAGGCUUGUGUUGGGGCCCUGCGGCCGUCCGCAGCCCCCGAAAAGCAGUGGCGGGCUCGCUAUCACACCGAGUGCAGUAGUAUCUCCUCGCUCUGGUCGUGUGGCGGGUGCCGGCCGUGAAACCCCCUACUUUUACAAAGGUUGACCUCGGAUCAGGUAGGAAUACCCGCUGAACUUAAG